This is a long non-coding RNA of Phascolarctos cinereus (koala), 1030 nucleotides long. RefSeq lists it as uncharacterized. Lineage: Eukaryota; Metazoa; Chordata; Mammalia; Diprotodontia; Phascolarctidae. The record is from RefSeq and is a predicted model, not a curated record.
AAAGAAGCCAGACAUAAUCAAUCAAUAAUCUCUUAUUAGAAUACCACUGAGUGCUCCUAAAACAGUAGAGAGCCACUUGUCAGGCCUAAAGGUGUUGGGGAAAAUUGUCAAGGCAACCCACCACCCAAUAGGAACAGACGUAUCUUGGGCUUCUGAGGUUGUAAAAAAACUCUUGGCUAGAAUUCACUGCAGAGUGAAGAAGCAGGAGGGAGCAAGGCAUGCACACUUGUGGCCCAUCUGCACUUACAGGCCCGCCAGAGCUCUGAUAGCAAAAUCUCCCAAGGUGACGAAACCUUGAAGGCCCUAGAGGGGUACCCACUGACUCUGAGUAGAACACUGAGGACACAGGCUCACCACUGAACUUGGUGCCAAGAGGUUAAAACAAUGAAUCUGUUUCCAAUGCCUCUUUGGGUGGUUUUUUUGUUUUUUUCCACGGAAUCUCUGCUUCCCAUCUCCUUGGUUUAUUCAGCUCCUGUAAAAUACUAUGACUCGCCUAAGAAGGGGAUUACAAGAAUCCUAGACACAGAUGAAAAACUGUUCAAACCGCAAUACCAGUUUGUUCCUAACGACAUCACCCCAGUUCCUAUUUUCAAAAAGAAAUUCUUGGUAGAGGAGUACCAGAACAAUUCUCAAGGCCACACUUGGCUCAAGAAAGAUACUGCAAAUACUGACAUGGACAUGCAAGAAUCAUACACUAACUCAGAUGAAUAUGUGAAAGAUUGUUCUCUGAAGACAAGAAAAAAAGCAACUGGAGUCAAGAAGUCAUAUUGCUUGCCUGUGUAUUAUUCCUAUUUGCUUUGAUGGGUGGAGCAGCUGUGUAUUCAACCAUAUAUGACCACUCAAAGCGUGAGGAAACCACAGAACCUGACAGUGUUGCUGAGACGCUUAUACCAUUAAAACCAGUACAGGAACUUGAUAAGUGGAAGCCAAAGGAAAAAUUUUCUGAGACUACAGACAACAAAAAAGAAUUGGAGAUAUUACUCUAUUUAGUUUUGAAAACUGAGAGGAAGAAAAAGAGACAUAAGAAAAA